AGCAGCCGCGGUAAUUCCAGCUCCAAUAGCGUAUAUUAAAGUUGUUGCAGUUAAAAAGCUCGUAGUUGAAUUUCGAGACCGGUUUAUUGGUCGUGCUUUUGUACGUACUGGUAUUAUUGGUUUCUCCUUUCUGACGAAUCUUAAUGCCAUUAAUUUGGUGUUUUGGGGAAUCAGGACUGUUACUUUGAAAAAAUUAGAGUGUUUAAAGCAGGCUCACGCUUGAAUACAUUAGCAUGGAAUAACGGAAUAGGACGUUUGAUUCUAUUUUGUUGGUUUCUAGGAUCGACGUAAUGAUUAAUAGGGAUAGUUGGGGGCAUUAGUAUUCAAUUGUCAGAGGUGAAAUUCUUGGAUUUAUUGAAGACUAACUACUGCGAAAGCAUUUGCCAAGGAUGUUUUCAUUAAUCAAGAACGAAAGUUAGGGGAUCGAAGACGAUCAGAUACCGUCGUAGU
RNAcentral lists this ribosomal RNA (450 nucleotides) under uncultured Glomeromycotina. RNAcentral's name for it is "SSU rRNA". It matches the Rfam family "Eukaryotic small subunit ribosomal RNA", at positions 569 to 1024 of the family's 1831-position model. The record is from RNAcentral. Lineage: Eukaryota; Fungi; Glomeromycota.